GGCAGCAUGGCUCAAGUGGUAAAGCACCUGUCUAGCAAGCUUGAUGCCUUGAGUUCAAUCCCUAGUACUGCCA
Molecule: transfer RNA, 73 nt
Filed under: Dipodomys ordii (Ord's kangaroo rat)
Lineage: Eukaryota; Metazoa; Chordata; Mammalia; Rodentia; Heteromyidae
Rfam family: tRNA
About the family: Transfer RNA (tRNA) molecules are approximately 80 nucleotides in length. Their secondary structure includes four short double-helical elements and three loops (D, anti-codon, and T loops).
Source: Rfam by way of RNAcentral